AGAGUUUGAUCCUGGCUCAGGAUGAACGCUAGCGGCAGGCUUAACACAUGCAAGUCGAGGGGUAACAGAAUAGCUUGCUAUUGCUGACGACCGGCGCACGGGUGCGUAACGCGUAUACAAUCUACCUUAUACAGGAGAAUAGCCCUAAGAAAUUGGGAUUAAUGCUCCAUAGUAAUAUUUGAUCGCAUGAUCGAAUGUUUAAAUCUUCGGAGGUAUAAGAUGAGUAUGCGUCCUAUUAGUUAGUUGGUAAGGUAACGGCUUACCAAGACAUCGAUAGGUAGGGGGCCUGAGAGGGUUAUCCCCCACACUGGUACUGAGACACGGACCAGACUCCUACGGGAGGCAGCAGUGAGGAAUAUUGGUCAAUGGAGGCAACUCUGAACCAGCCAUGCCGCGUGAAGGAAGAAUGUCCUACGGAUUGUAAACUUCUUUUAUUUGGGAAGAAACCCCUCUACGUGUAGAGGGCUGACGGUACCAAACGAAUAAGGACCGGCUAACUCCGU
RNAcentral lists this ribosomal RNA (503 nucleotides) under uncultured bacterium. RNAcentral's name for it is "bacterial SSU rRNA". It matches the Rfam family "Bacterial small subunit ribosomal RNA", at positions 8 to 506 of the family's 1533-position model. The record is from RNAcentral.